CCUACGGGAGGCAGCAGUGAGGAAUAUUGGUCAAUGGACGAGAGUCUGAACCAGCCAAGUCGCGUGCAGGAUGACUGCCCUAUGGGUUGUAAACUUCUUUUAUACAGGAAUAAAACGAGGCACGUGUGCCUUUUUGCAUGUACUUUAUGAAUAAGGAUCGGCUAACUCCGUGCCAGCAGCCGCGGUAAUACGGAGGAUCCGAGCGUUAUCCGGAUUUAUUGGGUUUAAAGGGAGCGUAGAUGGGUUGUUAAGUCAGUUGUGAAAGUUUGCGGCUCAACCGUAAAAUUGCAAUUGAUACUGGCAGUCUUGAGGACAGUUGAGGUAGGCGGAAUUCGUGGUGUAGCGGUGAAAUGCAUAGAGAUCACGAAGAACCACGAUUGCGAAGGCAGCUUACUAAACUGUGACUGACAUUGAUGCUCGAAAGUGUGGGGAUCAAACAGGAUUAGAUACCCGGGUAGUC
This 460-nucleotide ribosomal RNA is filed under the name uncultured bacterium. RNAcentral describes it as "partial 16S ribosomal RNA". It matches the Rfam family "Bacterial small subunit ribosomal RNA", at positions 338 to 795 of the family's 1533-position model. The record is from RNAcentral.